CAGGGAGGUGGUUGAAUCACUGCCUCUGGGGGUGUUCAAGAAAUGUGUAGAUGUAAUACUAAGAAGGAUGGUGUACUGGGUAACAUUGGUGUUAGGUGGAUGGAGAGACAAGAUGAUCUUAGAGGUCUUUCCCAACCUUAAGGAUUCUAUGAUUCUUUUGCAGUGUUCCAUCAUAGCUUUGGGACUCUGCCUGCUCCUAUCCCAGGUUUCCAGGCAAGCACCAGCACCGCCUACCACAAACCCAGGGUUAUAGCACUGCUAGGGAAGGUGAAGCUGUGCAUGGGAGAAUUUUUUUUUAGUGUCUGCAAAGCCAUUUAACUGGGAUAGACUCUGCCAUGUAUUUCUGGCAGAAUAAUAGAGUAAAAUAUUUGUGUUCAGUCACAUCCAGACUUGUCUGUUCUCUUGUCUCAGAGAUUUUCCAGGUAUUGAGCAGCACUUUACAAAGACUUACUAACUUGAAGAGGCAUUUAAAUAUUCGCUUUCCAGUUCAGCUUGUAUACUCAGGAGGUUUUCCUCAAGUGCUUCAGGAUUUAAUUGCAAUUUCUCCAAAAGCGUUUUUCCACCAGGUGCUUUUUCUACUGCUGGCCAUGCCCUCCCAUGUCUACCCUCACCUCUUAAAGCUUCACCAAGUCUCUCUACACAGCUUCCCGGAAAGGUUAUUGUCUUAUGCUUAAUGGAGAGGAAAAAAAAGGCAGUACAAGAGAUUUACUGCAAAUGGAAGCUAUUACUGGAGCAGUUAUCAAAUGAAAGAACAAUAUAAUAAUGUCUAGCCAUAAAGAUAUGAAGAGUUGCUUGUCAGAGGCAAACACCCAAUGUGUAAAGUAAAUGUGCAUGGCUGCUGCAAGCUCUUUUUGGCAGACAAAUUCAAGUCCUUGCAGCAUAGGUGAAACCCCCAGGUGUUCUGCAGACACUCAGGCUAUAAGAUGAGUAACCAAAGCAGAAGCAGACAGAGUGAGAUGCACUGUCAGCUUUCUCAGAGCUGGAGAUUUACACAAAACAGAGCUUGGCCCCAUCCUGAUGUCCCCAGUGCGCUGCCAUGUUCCCUGCUUAUUUAGGCAUCAGAUGCCUCCAGAAGCUGAAUCGUGUUAUCUCCAGCAGGAUUAUAGCUCAUUGAGGCUGCUGAGCCUGACUAUUGGGUUAAUACUUAAUGAAAUAAUAGCAGAGGGUGUUGAAUUUUGUCUCCCCGUAGACCUGUAAGGUCAAGUCACGUAGGCUAAGGAGCAAAGCUAGAAGACAGCGCUUUCCAGUUGAGAAUUUAGGCACAUACCGUUUUUCUCUUCUCUCCCAAUUUUGCCCUCUCCUGAAGAGCUGGGACAGGAAUUUUCAGGCUUAAAACAACUUCUGUUAACCUUUCCAAAUUAGAAAUACAUGAACUAGUAGAGCAGGAAUUCACAUGACAUCUUCUGCUAACAUAAUAACUGAGGGGUAAAUCCACAGAAACACCAGAACCCCCAGUGAGAAUUGUGGCCUUAAUACAGAGGAAAAGAUCGUGCAUGUUGAGGCUGCAAAAUAUUAAUGCAACCUGAGCACAAGAGCAGUAAAAGAAAAAAAGUAACCUCUGUGGAGCAGCUGUACAUUUUUUCAGAAGUGUUAUAUCAGUGAAUGCUAAUGAGAAAGUCCUCCAACAUCCCAUAGGGACAGAGUGCACUAAUUCAGGUCUAGAGGUGGGUGCCCACAGUCGUACGAGCCUUUCUGUGCCUCUGCCCUCACUCAUCAGAGAGGACUGUUGAAACAUCAAUCUCACCACAUGCUGCUGAGGGACCCAGUGCUAGUAUCCCCUUCUUCAGGUACCCUUGCAACCAGACUGAUUGUUGCCACUACUGCCAAGCUCUCAUGCCAAGUUUAGUUGCUCUCAUAUGACUAGGAUGCCCCUGACUAAUAAUCAUCAGCAUCAGGCACUGGUCAUAUUGCCUCUGCAGGUUUCCUGCAGUAGCACGCACAUAAUUUGCUCACAAAUAAGACAUUAAACUCUGUCUCAUUGUCCCACUCAUCACACAUCUCAUAACUCUUCUCCUUUUAUUUAUAAAGAGAAGCCAAACAUCCUACAGACGUGUGGCAUCAGCUGUGGGUUCAGCCCAGGACUCCAUUGCAAAGAGACCACGGAAAGGUUAUGGAUGUAGCAGGAGCUGCAGGGUGGAGAAAUCUCUACAGCAUGAUGGAGAGCAGACAGGGUCAGCCUCUGACCGCACAUCAGUUUCCUGCUCUAGCCAAUGAAAUCAGCACUGCAAUUACUCCUUACAAACUUGUGGCUCAAAGUCUUUGCUGUGCUCCUGCUUUUUCUUCCAGCAUGAAAUUUUGGACUGAAUAAAAAAUAUUCACAGGCAAACAAGUUUCUACAUCUCUUAAAAUCUCUUUGGGAAUAAAAGAACUCCAAAGCAGUGGGAAAGUGCUUGGUUCUUGUGAGCCCUUCUUAAAGGCACUUUUGUGGCCAGUGCCACCUCUCAUAGGAAAUCUCUUAGCAUCCUGAGAGUCCACAGGGUUUGAGAAUUGAACACUUCUAAGAAAAACACUGUGAGAAAUAUACAUCAUCUGAGUACUCUGGGUCAUCAGGCAGCCCUCAUGAUG
Meleagris gallopavo (turkey) is the source of this 2565-nucleotide non-coding RNA. The record is from RefSeq and is a predicted model, not a curated record. NCBI's taxonomy places the organism in Eukaryota, Metazoa, Chordata, Aves, Galliformes, Phasianidae.